Molecule: ribosomal RNA, 270 nt
Filed under: uncultured bacterium
Lineage: Bacteria
Description: partial 16S ribosomal RNA
Rfam family: Bacterial small subunit ribosomal RNA
Source: RNAcentral
CCGGCGACCGGCGCACGGGUGAGUAACGCGUAUGCAACCUGCCCGUUUCAGCGGGAUAACCCGGAGAAAUCCGGCCUAAUACCGCAUGUGGCCGAGGGGAGGCAUCUUCUUUCGGCCAAAGGAGGCGACUCCGGAGACGGAUGGGCGUGCGUGACAUUAGCUAGUUGGCGGGGUAACGGCCCACCAAGGCGACGAUGUCUAGGGGUUCUGAGAGGAAGGUCCCCCACACUGGUACUGAGACACGGACCAGACUCCUACGGAAGGCAGCAG